This 504-nucleotide ribosomal RNA is filed under the name uncultured bacterium. Its description in RNAcentral is "bacterial SSU rRNA". It matches the Rfam family "Bacterial small subunit ribosomal RNA", at positions 28 to 505 of the family's 1533-position model. The record is from RNAcentral.
GAUGAACGCUAGCGACAGGCCUAACACAUGCAAGUCGAGGGGCAUCGGGGCGUAGCAAUACGCUGCCGGCGACCGGCGGAUGGGUGAGUAACGCGUAUGCAACCUACCUUCAGCAGGGGGAUAGCCCGUUGAAAGACGGAUUAAUACCCCAUAACACAGGGGCUCCGCAUGGAGAUUAUUGUUAAAGGGAUGCUUCCUUCGGGGAGUAUCCGGCUGCAGAUGGGCAUGCGUUCCAUUAGGUAGUUGGUUGAGGUAACGGCUCACCAAGCCUACGAUGGAUAGGGGAACUGAGAGGUUGGUCCCCCACACUGGUACUGAGACACGGACCAGACUCCUACGGGAGGCAGCAGUGAGGAAUCUUGGUCAAUGGACGGAAGUCUGAACCAGCCAUGUCGCGUGAAGGAGGACGGCCCUAAGGGUUGUAAACUUCUUUUGCAGGGGAAUAAAGUAUUCUACGAGAUGGGAUAUUGCAAGUACGCUGCGAAUAAGGAUCGGCUAACUCCG